CUGCUACCCGGUGACUGGGAAGAAGCAUUUCAUGGAAAUCUAUAACCUUGAGAGAUAUUUAGGUGGCAUUCUCAGACCUGUCAUGAAAUGUCAAGUUGUCCUACCAACCCAAUGCAACGGACAGAAGCUCCAUAGGGAAAUGAAUCAUGACUUCCUUGUUCACUGAUGUAUCCAUGGCACCAAGUACAAUGUAUUCGCACAUAUUGGACACCGAUUAACUUAUAUUGAAUGAGAGAAUAAAACCAUAACUUCAGCUAUCAAGUGUUAUAAGGAAGAUAAAAUAUUUAUCAAAA
Long non-coding RNA from Hyaena hyaena (striped hyena), 293 nucleotides. RefSeq lists it as uncharacterized. NCBI's taxonomy places the organism in Eukaryota, Metazoa, Chordata, Mammalia, Carnivora, Hyaenidae. The transcript has 2 exons. The record is from RefSeq and is a predicted model, not a curated record.